AAGUGGAGCAAUCCAUGAGUAAAGUGGCGACCGGGUGAGUAACACGUGACUACCUACCCUUGAGUGGGGGAUAACCUCGGGAAACCGAGGCUAAUACCGCAUAAUAUCGAGAGAUCAAAGGAGCAAUCCGCUUUUGGAGGGGGUCGCGGCUAAUUAGCUAGUUGGUAGGGUAAUGGCCUACCAAGGCGAAGAUCGGUAUCCGGCCUGAGAGGGCGCACGGACACACUGGAACUGAAACACGGUCCAGACUCCUACGGGAGGCAGCAGUGGGGAAUUUUGCGCAAUGGGGAAACCCUGACGCAGCAACGCCGCGUGGAGGAUGAAGCCCCUUGGG
Molecule: ribosomal RNA, 334 nt
Filed under: uncultured bacterium
Lineage: Bacteria
Description: bacterial SSU rRNA
Rfam family: Bacterial small subunit ribosomal RNA
Source: RNAcentral